CCUACGGGGGGCAGCAGUGGGGGAUAUUGCACAAUGGGGGGAACCCUGAUGCAGCGACGCCGCGUGGGUGAAGGAGCGUUUCGGCGCGUAAAGCCCUAUCGGCAGGGAAGAAGGAGGACGGUACCUGACUAAGAAGCCCCGGCUAACUACGUGCCAGCGGCCGCGGUAAUACGUAGGGGGCAAGCGUUAUCCGGAUUUACUGGGUGUAAAGGGAGCGUAGACGGCUAUGCAAGUCUGGAGUGAAAGGCGGGGGCCCAACCCCCGGACUGCUCUGGAAACUGUAGAGCUAGAGUGCAGGAGAGGUA
Molecule: ribosomal RNA, 305 nt
Filed under: uncultured bacterium
Lineage: Bacteria
Description: partial 16S ribosomal RNA
Rfam family: Bacterial small subunit ribosomal RNA
Source: RNAcentral